GAACGAGAAAGUGGAGCAAUCCAUGAGUAAAGUGGCGACCGGGUGAGUAACACGUGACUAACCUACCCUCGAGUGGGGAAUAACCUCGGGAAACCGGGGCUAAUACCGCAUAACAUCUUCGGAUCAAAUGCGUAAGCAGCUUGAGGAGGGGGUCGCGGCCGAUUAGCUAGUUGGCGGGGUAAUGGCCCACCAAGGCAAUGAUCGGUAGCCGGCCUGAGAGGGCGCACGGCCACACUGGAACUGAAACACGGUCCAGACUCCUACGGGAGGCAGCAGUGGGGAAUUUUGCGCAAUGGGGGAAACCCUGACGCAGCAACGCCGCGUGGAGGAUGAAGCCCCUUGGGGUGUAAACUCCUUUCGAUCGGGACGAUUAUGACGGUACCGGAUGAAGAAGCACCGGCUAACUCUGUG
RNAcentral lists this ribosomal RNA (411 nucleotides) under uncultured bacterium. RNAcentral describes it as "bacterial SSU rRNA". It matches the Rfam family "Bacterial small subunit ribosomal RNA", at positions 64 to 507 of the family's 1533-position model. The record is from RNAcentral.